Long non-coding RNA from Arachis stenosperma, 1026 nucleotides. RefSeq lists it as uncharacterized. The transcript has 5 exons. NCBI's taxonomy places the organism in Eukaryota, Viridiplantae, Streptophyta, Magnoliopsida, Fabales, Fabaceae. The record is from RefSeq and is a predicted model, not a curated record.
AAACAUGAGGAACUACUUGUUCUUUUCUCAUUGCAAGAGCAUAAUUUGGCUGUGUGGCUUCUCUCUAAAUCAAGCUAACAUUAAGGCCAUCACUACAAGGAACGUGCGAUUUGGUGGCAGUUUUUGCGAAACCGUCACAAAAUGAUUUUACAACUUUUGAUGGAUUGCUAAUUUUUAAGACAUGAUGACAAGUAGCAGAGGUAGACCGAGUAGGUCUCGAGAUCGUGGUAAAAGGAGAGUUUCCACCGAAUCUCCUGCGACUAUUCAGUCCUUGUCCUCUACUCCGACUACCCCGUUGAUCAUUGUGACGCCAUAGGUGGGUCUAGCAUACCAACAGUUCAUAGUCCCAAACCUGAAAUACGUGCCUCCUUCUGCUACGCCCCCUGCAUAUCUAGUGACAAAGCUCACAGUAGGUGAUUCCUCUAGUUCCCCCAGCAGGAUGUACCUCCACCACCGCCUGUCAUCCGGAUGAGAAUUUGGCUUGAUGCCAUACAGGCGUUUGCUCCAAACCCCAAUGCUUGCACACAUAAGAUCUCCGAAGUCAUUAAGUCGAUGUACGACCACCUGUGGCUGACCUACACGCAGAUCCCGGCUGAGACCAAAUAUCGAUGGUUUCAUAAGUGUACGUUGAAAUUCAUAUGGGAUGCAGAGUAUAAUAUCAUUAUCAUGAAGAUCUAUGACAAGAGACAGCUAAACGACUUCAGCAGAUAAUGAGCGAUGUUCGUAAGGGAUGCGACCACCGAACGUCGUAGAUUUGUCCAGCCAUCCAGAAGGAACUGAAGGCCUAUUUUAAGAAUGAUGAGGGGUUCAAGCGUCAUGGUCUGAUAAACAUUGCUAAUAGAGUUUUGCCUAGGUUGUCGAAGUAUAUAGGUAGGUUGGUGACCUUCAUGAAGACGAAGAACAGACUGGUAAAAAUUUUGUCAUUAUUUAAUUUUUUAGUAAUUACUUGAAUUAGUUGGUUAAUUUUUUUCAUUUAUUUUAUUUUUUCGGUUUCUAGCUUGGAACUUCUGAUGAAAGAACUUUGUA